UUCAUACGUUCCUGUUAAUCUUUGGAUGUGCUGUCGUCCAUGUGUGCUGUGAGUGUCACCACAAACCUGAAUGAAAUGUGUCAGAACUCAAAGAAAUCAAGUUACUCCCAUGACGAGGAGCAGCCCUGCCAAUGCGGACGGACUAAGACGAAGAACAUAAUCAAGGAAGCGCAUGAAAGCCAGCGCUGGGCCUGAGAUUAAUUAGCUGUAUCCCAUGAAUAAUGAAAAAGAGGGUAUAACACAAAACAGUCACACCAUCUGGUAGAUGAGAGACACACACACACACACACACACACACACACACACACACACACACACACACACACACACACACACAGGUUAAACUCGAAACACCUUUUUUCACUUUCUUUUUGAGCAUUUGAAGACGUAACACGUCAAGUCAUAUUUAAUAAUUUACCUGAUGAAAGCACAAUCAAACCGCCAAAAACACAAUUCACAAUAUCAGAUCAGUGUCACAUCUUUCUUUCUCCGCCUGGAGGAUACAGGGGCUCUAUGUGUGUCUGUCUGCAUGUUUCUGUCUGUGUGCAUAGGCGUGCAUCCGUGUGGCUGUGUAUUGGUGAGUGACGUCGCCAUCACCUUGACAACUGCUGUGUCGUCAACGUCCAAAGAGGUUGGAGUUGGAACCUAGAAAGGUAAGACACCUCUUAUCUCUAUAAACAAAUACAUUGCGCAAAUCGGCUAAUAAAAUAAGAAGUUUUAUUUGCCUACAGAGGUUAGUAAUGGAAUGGGUUCAGCUUACAUUCAUCCAUUACAAUUCUUCUGUGUAAAGUAUUGUAUCAUUU
This is a long non-coding RNA of Gadus macrocephalus (Pacific cod), 803 nucleotides long. RefSeq lists it as uncharacterized. The transcript is spliced from 4 exons. NCBI's taxonomy places the organism in Eukaryota, Metazoa, Chordata, Actinopteri, Gadiformes, Gadidae. The record is from RefSeq and is a predicted model, not a curated record.